AAGUCGUAACAAGGUUUCCGUAGGUGAACCUGCGGAAGGAUCAUUAAUACGUUCUAAACAAACGUUUUAAACUCCAAAAUUUUAAUAGUGGAAAUAUAACUUCCGGAUGCAUUUGUAGGGAGGGGAAGAUUAGACCUUAAAACAGUCUGGUUUUCUCCUUCUUGAAAAGGAAACUUCAUGCACUUUAUUGUGAGUGUGUGACACUUCAGAGUAGAGCAGUGAGGUGAAAAUUCAGCAAUGAGUUUUGGUUCUGAAAUACAUCUGUAUCCGGUUAUUCUCUGUUCUACAACCUUUUAAUUAUCAAACAAUAAACCCCAUGUACAACAACUUGAACUAAACAAUUUUAUUUUCUCUAGCUCUUCGGAGUUGAGAAGAUGAAGUAAAAUCUGAACUUAAGAACAACUCUUAACAACGGAUAUCUUGGUUCUC
RNAcentral lists this unclassified non-coding RNA (429 nucleotides) under fungal sp. RNAcentral describes it as "partial internal transcribed spacer region". The stretch from base 1 to 46 matches the Rfam family "Eukaryotic small subunit ribosomal RNA", at positions 1786 to 1831 of the family's 1831-position model. Lineage: Eukaryota; Fungi. The record is from RNAcentral.